RNAcentral lists this ribosomal RNA (249 nucleotides) under uncultured Pasteurellaceae bacterium. RNAcentral's name for it is "partial 16S ribosomal RNA". It matches the Rfam family "Bacterial small subunit ribosomal RNA", at positions 87 to 339 of the family's 1533-position model. The record is from RNAcentral. Lineage: Bacteria; Pseudomonadati; Pseudomonadota; Gammaproteobacteria; Pasteurellales; Pasteurellaceae.
GCUGACGAGUGGCGGACGGGUGAGUAAUGCUUGGGAAUCUGGCUUAUGGAGGGGGAUAACGACGGGAAACUGUCGCUAAUACCGCGUAGAAUCGAGAGAUGAAAGUGCGGGACCUUCGGGCCGCAUGCCAUAGGAUGAGCCCAAGUGGGAUUAGGUAGUUGGUGGGGUAAAGGCCUACCAAGCCGACGAUCUCUAGCUGGUCUGAGAGGAUGACCAGCCACACCGGGACUGAGACACGGCCCGGACUCC